UCCUGAACGAGACCGAAUCUCAGCCGAAGCUGGAGCCCAGGCAGCCAACCUGCCCCUGUGGCUAGAACAUUAAACAUGCUUUGCAGUUUCCAUAUCAUGCCCCUUCCCCACUCCCCCACCGUAUCGCAGCGCACCGCACCGCAGAGACUCAGCUCUGGCAUAGUCGUAAAGUCGAAAACAAGUUUUGGCAGCAGCAGCUGGAACUGCGGUUGCGAGAGAGCGGAGCGAGAGAGAGCGGAGAAUGUGAGGAAAGCCAACCAGAAGCCAGAAUCCAGAAGCUGAAGCUGAAAGAAGAGUCAAAGGCAAAGCUGAGGAAUUGAUGGGCACAUUGAGUAAUCCCCAAAUUGGUGUGCUUUGGUAUCCUGCUGUUGCUGUUGCUGGCUGGCUGCUGGCUGAUCCCCAGAGCUAAAGUACAUUUUGAAAGGCGCCAUUUUGGUGUGGCCAGACUAGCGCAAGCAAAUAAUAGCCAGAGCCACAGGCUCGGCUCUCAGGCAAACACCGAGAGCCUCGAGAGUUGUUUUUUAGUGGAGAGGCGACCUUCGCUUUGCAUUUUUUGCAGGCUGCUUGCGGCUGCAUUCUGCACAGCUUUGGCGGAGGAAAUCGGCCUCCAUUUCAACACAGCCACGGAUUUAAUGACACACAAACACACAGAUAUACUGACGCUCUCUCACACACACGAACAUACACACACACACACACAUUAUUAACUGAAGCCAUCGCCACCACCCUCUGCAGAGCCGAGCAAUGAAACGGAUGGACGGAUGGUGGAAAGCAAGCAUAAGGGAAAACAGUGACAGUGACAGCAGCGGAGAGGAGACGAGACGAGACGAAGAAGACGGAGGCGACUGACAGCGGGGCCAGGCAAGCAGCAAGCCGAGCGACAACAAAACAGACGAAUAAAGGAAAAUGCACGCACACACAGCCACUAGCGACACUAGCGACGGGAAUAUAGCAUAGCACUCUCAUGUACAUAAAGUGUGCAAAAACGUUGGCAGGCCAGGCGCAGGCAGGGCAAUUGUAAACACUGGCCACACUGGCCAUACGAAGAGCGGCCAAACCAUCUCAGUGGGCCAGGCCGUGCCGGGCCAGCGGAAACUGGCCCAAGAAUUUUCACCAAAUGGAAAAGUUGUUAAAGAAUUGGCAGAGUUGCCAACAGCGUUCGUUGGCGAGCAAACGUCCGCCUCGGCAACUCUCGCACAACACACACAAACAGAGAGCCACACUACUCGCUCGUUCGCUCACUCACUCACUCUCACACACAACACACGCACACAGAGAGGCAUGCACGUUCGGCCAAAUGAAAAACUGUGGAAAUUGUGCGGACCUAAGGGUCGACAAAAAACAGUUGCGAAAAAAACAAAAAAAUAAAUAAAUGAAGCAAACUUUACAAAAUUUGCUGUUUUCUUUUCAAUCUGUUCUCUUCUUUGCUACAACAACAACAAGCAUGACGCGCGAACGGAACAGCACUCACUUGUCUCUUUCGUUUCACUUUUGAAUUGCUUUUCGCAUUUGCUUUUUCAUUGAAACCGAGCGGGAGCCGAAACGAAACCGAGCCCGAAAGCCGAA
Long non-coding RNA from Drosophila pseudoobscura, 1566 nucleotides. RefSeq lists it as uncharacterized. Lineage: Eukaryota; Metazoa; Arthropoda; Insecta; Diptera; Drosophilidae. The record is from RefSeq and is a predicted model, not a curated record. The transcript has 2 exons.